Molecule: long non-coding RNA, 2163 nt
Organism: Phasianus colchicus (ring-necked pheasant)
Lineage: Eukaryota; Metazoa; Chordata; Aves; Galliformes; Phasianidae
Source: Ensembl
AACAACCUCCCUUUGCGAAAUUACAGAAAAGAAACGCAGCACUUUAACAACAAAAGCUUCUGGUCGGCGGACUGCAGCUCGCGGCGCCCGACCCGCGCUGUGACCCGCGCUGUAACCCGCGCUGUGACCCGCGCUGUGACCCGCGCUGUGACCCGCGCUGUGACCCGCGCUGCUUCCCCCCUCACAGCUCACGGCCACGCGCCCCGUAAAAGCACCUCACAGCCGCUCCUCAAACAAAGGGCCCGAGAGCGGGAGCGCUCCGUCGGACGCGGCCGGCUCUGCCCCCGGAGCUCGAGAACGCUUCACUCCGACGGCGCUUUUCGCUCCGCCGGACCCGAAGCUCCGGGGGCGGCGCGGCUGCGAACGACUCGAGCGCGGCCCCGGGACGGCCCGUCUGUCCCGGCUCUCAGCCCCAGCGCGCCGUGCUCCCGUGCAGCCGCCGCAUCGCAGCCGCCCGCCGUAACCCCACCGGCUCGGCUCGCGGCGCAGCUCCCCCCACCCCCCUCGCCGUGCCGGCUGCCCGCAGCUCCCGGCCGCCAGAAGUUAUUUACAUCACAAACCCGCACCUGGGUUUGGGUGGCGCGCGGAGCUCCGGCCGCCGUGCUGCUCCUCGCGGGGCCGCCCCGCUCAGCUCCGCGCACACACGGCACGGCUCGGCUCGGCUCGCUCUCCGGUUCAAACGCACGGCGCCGCCGCCCGGCCCCGCCCGCUCUCCGGCGCGGAGCUCAGGGCAAACCCGGAGCAGCCCCGGCCCGGAGCGGAGCGCCCUCCGGCCCCGCAGCGCAGCGCCGCCCGGCGAUCCAGCCCCGGUGUUGCGGCGGCCCCGAGCCCGCUCCCAUUCAACCUGCUCCAUUGUGCGCCCGCGGGGCCCCUCCUGCGGCCGCCCCCCCCUCCCGGAGCUCCGCGCGGCGGGCAGAGCCGCCUGGCCCCGCCGCCCCCGAGCGGCACCUGCCGCGGGGAGCGCCGCCCUCGGGGAACGGCAGCGCCUCAGGCGCUGCCCCGUCCGCAGCUGGGCUCCUUUGCGCUGCUCCUCACACGCGAACCACAGCGCUCCCGCGCAGCCACAGCUGUUUCCUUUCCUCGGCGGUUGAGGGGGAGGAGAUGCUCUGGUUUUGUUUUCACAGCUCAGCCCGGGCCGAUAAGGAAAAGAGCACCAACAACACCUGGUCGGAUCCAUGUUGUCACCGCGGCCGCACCAUUAACGAGGUCCGAACUCAGGGCCGUUCCUUUCCACAGCUCUCGGUCUCAGCCUUAAGGAGGAUCUCGGCGAUGAAUAUAGUUCACUCACAAAACAAAACGCAGUCUGUGCAGAAUUAUCUCGCGUUUAUUGCAGCUGUAUGCACACUGUCAGCGCUCCGUGUGGAAGAACUCCUUGUAGGCGUUCCUGGUGUUGUUUCUGGACGCCCUGCUGCUGGCUUGACAAGAAGCACACCUUGCGAGGAGCCAGGGAUAAACAUCUACUGCGUGUAUUCCUAUCUGAGGAACAGCUGCUUCCAGGAGCCACGGUUCUGCCCCGAAGUCAGCACAGGAAGAAUGGCAGAGCAGCCAGUCAGCAGGGCUUAGAUAAUGAAGCUUUUCAGACCGCAUGGCUCUCUUUGGUGCCUCACUGCCUAAGGAAUACACGCAGAGAAAAAAAUGCACGUUGUACUUCAGCCACAUAAUGAGGAGUGUGGGAGACGACACACAAAGCUCAGGUGUUCGGUGUAUAAAAAGCCACAAUGAACAUAAGAAAUUCGAUCUUUAUUCUGGGAAUAUUUACAAACACACACCUGGCGUACACUUCACACCGCUCUGAAAAACAAAAGUCCUUGGUGUGCUCUGGUCCCCUUUUCCCAAUUCCAAAAGGUUUAUGUCCAUCCGAUGGAGGUAUUUCUAGAACCAUCAGGAAAACGUCACUGCUGCUCACAGCUGUGGGGUACCCAGCAGGGGGAACAGGAUGCGUCACUUAGGAUCUGAGGAACAGCUCAGCUCAACACCACUUCCAUUCUUGUCCUGCCUAAUAUCACUACACUUCAGUCCCACACAGAUUAAAUGAGACAGCACUUUGUAGUUCUCAGGUUUUCUGUUCAAGACAAGGAACCCCGAGUUCUGGCACUUGUUAGCAUUAACUUACACUUUACACAAAGCACGUAACACAGAUAACUGCCCUGCUUCUAGUCCAGC